RNAcentral lists this ribosomal RNA (506 nucleotides) under Thysanopoda tricuspidata. Its description in RNAcentral is "partial 16S ribosomal RNA". It matches the Rfam family "Bacterial large subunit ribosomal RNA", at positions 1819 to 2597 of the family's 2925-position model. The record is from RNAcentral. Lineage: Eukaryota; Metazoa; Arthropoda; Malacostraca; Euphausiacea; Euphausiidae.
GUCUUGGCGCUGAGAUGUCAAGUCUGGCCUGCCCACUGAUGAAUUAAAGGGCCGCGGUAUCAUGACCGUGCAAAGGUAGCAUAAUCACUAGUCUUUUAAUUGAAGGCUUGAAUGAACGGUCUUACGAAAAAUAAACUGUCUUCUAAUAAAAAGAUUUAAAUUAACUUUUAAGUAAAAAGGCUUAAAUACUCCAAAGUGACGAUAAGACCCUAUAAAACUUGAUAAGCAAACUUUUAAAAUGAAACUAGAUAAAUAAACAUUUUUAAAUGGUACUAUUUUAUUGGGGCGAUAAAAAUAUAAGUGUAACUGUUUCUUACAUACAAUGUGAUAAACAUUAAAGAUUGAUCCUUUUAUAAAGAUUAAAAGAUUAAGUUACUUUAGGGAUAACAGCGUAAUUUUCUUUGAGAGUUCAUAUCUACAAGAAAGAUUGCGACCUCGAUGUUGAAUUAAAAAAUCUUUAAGGUGCAGCAGCUUUAAAAGAAGGUCUGUUCGACCUUUAAAUUUUU